GGUGUAUAUACUUGUCAACAACAGCAAUAUUACACAAGUUUGAACUCUAAUUUAUUAUAAAAUAUAAUAAAGAAAGAAAAACUGUUGAAUUAACCAUUUAAAAAAAAUCAUUUGCGAAACAAACGCUUAUGAUUAAAAGAAUCUGACCAAAUAGGAAAGUGAAAAAUACCGUGUUAUUAGACACAGGGGUCAAAUUUAUUUUAGUUUAAACAAUAUUUAUUAAAAAAAAAAUGUAAAGAUAGAUAUUACAAUGUUACAUAAAGUUCAAAUAUGGGAUUCGGAAACAAGUUUGGAAAAACUUUUAUAAAUCCGUCUCCCUAAAAAUAAAAACAUCUAUUUAACAAACAAUAUUACGUGCCAACAGUAUAUUCAGUUUACGGUAGCAUAUGAUAAAUUGAAUAGAUACACACACACACACACACGCAAAAAAAAUACAACAAAUAAAAUAAAUGAAAAAAAAUAAAAAUAUGGAAAAAAAGGGGGAAAAAAACACGAAACAGUCAACUCUUAUUUACUUUUCUAGACAGUCACUGGAACCAACACACACGUCCGACUAUAGUCAAUUACGCCGGGCAAUCCACUCGAUUUUACAUCAUAUUAAAAAUUUAUUUUGCUGAUAAUGAUGACAAAAGCUGGCACUUAAUUUAGAAGAUUAGAAUGAAGUAUCCAAAUAUAUGCAAUGUCAAUCAAAAUUUUAAGCAUAC
RNAcentral lists this long non-coding RNA (704 nucleotides) under Mytilus galloprovincialis (Mediterranean mussel). The record is from RNAcentral. Lineage: Eukaryota; Metazoa; Mollusca; Bivalvia; Mytilida; Mytilidae.